UAGGGAUUGACUAUAGAUCGGGCC
This 24-nucleotide non-coding RNA is filed under the name Arabidopsis thaliana (thale cress). Lineage: Eukaryota; Viridiplantae; Streptophyta; Magnoliopsida; Brassicales; Brassicaceae. The record is from RNAcentral.